This 136-nucleotide microRNA precursor is filed under the name Hordeum vulgare. RNAcentral's name for it is "microRNA MIR1122". It matches the Rfam family "MIR1120/MIR1122 microRNA precursor family". Lineage: Eukaryota; Viridiplantae; Streptophyta; Magnoliopsida; Poales; Poaceae. The record is from RNAcentral.
GAGGUACUCCCUUCGUCUCAAAAUUAUUGUCUUACAUUUGUGUACAUAAGAAUGUAUCUAGUCACAUUUUAGUAUUUAGAUACAUCCAUUUGUAGAUAAAUCCAAGACAAGAAUUUUGAUACGGAGGGAGUAUAAG